UUUCCAGACUCCUACGGGAGGCAGCAGUGAGGAAUAUUGGUCAAUGGGCGGGAGCCUGAACCAGCCAAGUCGCGUGAGGGACGACGGUCCUAUGGAUUGUAAACCUCUUUUGUCGGGGAACAAAGGCGCCCACGGGUGGGCGGAUGAGUGUACCCGAAGAAAAAGCAUCGGCUAACUCCGUGCCAGCAGCCGCGGUAAUACGGAGGAUGCGAGCGUUAUCCGGAUUUAUUGGGUUUAAAGGGAGCGUAGAUGGGUUGUUAAGUCAGUUGUGAAAGUUUGCGGCUCAACCGUAAAAUUGCAAUUGAUACUGGCAGUCUUGAGUACAGUUGAGGUAGGCGGAAUUCGUGGUGUAGCGGUGAAAUGCUUAGAUAUCACGAAGAACCCCGAUUGCGAAGGCAGCUUACUAAACUGUGACUGACAUUGAUGCUCGAAAGUGUGGGUAUCAAACAGGAUUAGAUACCCUAGUAG
This 468-nucleotide ribosomal RNA is filed under the name uncultured bacterium. Its description in RNAcentral is "bacterial SSU rRNA". It matches the Rfam family "Bacterial small subunit ribosomal RNA", at positions 328 to 793 of the family's 1533-position model. The record is from RNAcentral.